AAGUCGUAACAAGGUUUCCGUAGGUGAACCUGCGGAAGGAUCCUCGCAUCAACGCUUGUAUACCAAUAUUCAAACUCAAUGUGAACCGUAACGUCCCUAGUUUUGUUCAUUUACUUCGGUAAGUGGAUGAAAUUAGACAAUACCUUGUUAAAAAUUCAACUGUCUACUUCGGUAGCGGUUUGGGUUUCUAACGUUUAUUCCCGAAAUUUUAACCCUAUAAACUAAAUGUUUGUCUUAUCUUCUUCAGACUGAGUUUGGAUCAGGAGAAUUUAAUCGUUCUCUUUGUUUCUUUUUCAGCUUUGUUACGAAAUUUAGAACAACUCUUAGCAAUGGAUAUCUUGGGUCAU
RNAcentral lists this unclassified non-coding RNA (347 nucleotides) under fungal sp. RNAcentral describes it as "partial internal transcribed spacer region". The stretch from base 1 to 46 matches the Rfam family "Eukaryotic small subunit ribosomal RNA", at positions 1786 to 1831 of the family's 1831-position model. Lineage: Eukaryota; Fungi. The record is from RNAcentral.